Molecule: long non-coding RNA, 2762 nt
Organism: Gasterosteus aculeatus aculeatus (three-spined stickleback)
Lineage: Eukaryota; Metazoa; Chordata; Actinopteri; Perciformes; Gasterosteidae
Source: Ensembl
GGGGGACGUCAUCGGCCCUGAAGAAAGAGCGUAAUCAUAAACAUCCCGGCGCUGUUUCCAGAAGCACGGCCUCCUGGCGCUUCGGGGGCUUAAUGACGCCAGCAGAACAAGUGGCAAUUUAGAGGCGCUCGCUGUAACUCCCCCCCCCCCGGUCCACAUGCUAACGCCAUAUAUAGAAUAUAAUAUACUACUCGUUAGCUGUAGUGCUAAACUAGCGUGGUUCCCCUGCAGCCUGGUCGUGUGUCUGCUCACUUCAAGCUUGUGGCCUUUUACCGUGAAAUGAACCACGAGGAGAUAUUACGCUCAGAACAAAAUCAGCUGGAAUCACAUGCAACACAAACUAACGGCUGUUGGAGAGUUUACGCUGCUUCCCUCUCGGGGGGUUCCAUCCUUGUAUGUGUAGAGAGUCCAAAUGGCUUUUGGUUUGAUGGCUCUUUCUUUCCCUUCACUUUGUAAUGUUUUAUACAGUAUUCUUAAAGAUCCUCAGUAUGGACCUUCUGCCUCCACCUCCUCACUACGGGGUGAAAUAUAUCAGUUAUAAAGAAUUUCCAGCCGUAUGAUAUUUACAGAUUUGUUAUUGCGCCAGAAAGAAGAAUGAAGGGAAAUGUUCCAAAGGGGAAGCAGGUUGUCUUCAAGCGUUCUUUCAUCUGCAAACUUUAGAAAGGACAACAGAGGUUUUGUGUUACAGAAACACAUAUAUUUGUAUCCCUUUGACUAUCUAACGGCCUUGAACGUAUUUCUUGGGCCUCUUUGUCCUCCAGUCUCAUUUAGUAACAAAAGUGUCAGGUCUUAUAUCACCUCCCUCUUGUCUUAUCUGCCGCCUUUUUCACUGGACCAUUGAAGACGUCGUCUUUUCUUCCUCUACUUCGCGGUGAGAUGAUCUCUCCCUUCAACAAAUAUUUGUGGAACUCAAUUUGAGGGGUUAGUUCUUGGGUAACAAAUAAGCCUAUUUUAUAUUUUAGACCUCUUAUCUAGCGGCUUGGAGAGCUGGUGUGUGUGUGUGUGUGUGUGUGUGUGUGUGUGUGUGUGUGUGUGUGUGUGUGCGGUCAUGAUCCUGCCCAGCAGUGUAGACUGAUUGGAUGGGAGGGUUUUGUGUCACUGUUUGUUCUGGUUAAUGAGCGGAAGGAAGGUGAGCCAAUACAAUACACACACUGUGUCAACAGAGGGACACUGUCAGGGCCGCGUGUGUGUGUGUGUGUGUGUGUGUGUGUGUGUGUGUGUGUGUGUGUGUCCUCAUAUCCCUCCUCGAGCUGAUUAGUAGUCGGGUCUUUAAGUAAACAGGCGGCUAACCAGCGGAGGAAUCUAACCUGUGGACGGAAGGAAUUCUCCAUCCAUCACUGACGGAGCGUUGAGAUGGAUCCGUUUCACACGCAGUAAAAACCUUCUCCAGAGCGCUGCUGCAGAGUAAUGUUUCCGCUGCAGAGUAAUGUUUCUGCUGCAGAGUAAUGUUGCUGCAGAGUAAAGUUUCUGCUGCAGAGUAAUGUUUCUGCUGCAGAGUAAUGUUUCUGCUGCAGAGUAAUGUUUCUGCUGCAGAGUAAUGUUGCUGCAGAGUAAAGUUGCUGCAGAGUAAUGUUGCUGCAGAGUAAAGCUGCUGCAGAGUAAAGUUGCUGCAGAGUAAAGUUGCUGCAGAGUAAAGCUGCUGCAGAGUAAAGUUGCUGCAGAGUAAUGUUGCUGCAGAGUAAAGCUGCUGCAGAGUAAAGUUGCUGCAGAGUAAAGUUGCUGCAGAGUAAAGCUGCUGCAGAGAAAAGCUCACUUUCUCCUUCAGCGCGCCUGUUUCAACAAGAGAAAAACCAUCUAAAACUCAGUCAGAGUCAUCCGACCUAAAGACAUUUCCUGACCUCUGCCUCGUCUACGAGCUUUGGCAUCAUUGCAUAUUUCUUUUCCCCAAAAUGGAUGCUUGUGUUUUCUCUGCAACGCUUCGUAUAGUUAUUCAGACGCUGAUUAUUUAUCCGGCCGGUGAGAACUCCGUGACGGCGACGUUCCCUCGGAGAUCAAGGGUGGCGUCUCAGAGACUUUGUCCAAACUUAAAGAAAGUAAACAUCUUCAGAAGUCAGGGGGGACUCGGCUUCUCAUCUCGGAGUCGUACGUCGCAUCUAAUUACACUCGGUCCUCUCCUCCGACUCACACAUGAAGCUUCAAAUCAAGUGUCUCACCCAGGGGAGCGAGGCCACUCUUCAUUUAAAUAUGCAUUUACUUGCCAGCGUCAAAGGGAUGUUCAGGAGGACUUGUGGGUUACAAGGAAACUGGGUCACGUUGAUUAUUAGCAAAUACAGAAUGAGGCGCUGGGAAAAUGAAGACCAUGUUCUGUAUGUCUGUGCCAGCGGGGGGGGGGGGGUCGUUACACCUGCAGCAUCACAUCGAACGCUGCUCCCAUCAGCACCACACUCCAUGGAAGAUCCUCCCAUCUGCAUCCUUUUAAUCUUCAUCAAUCCUAUUUCUUUGUUUCACUUGGGCCAUAGAAGUCAUGAACCUCUGAGUGUCAUUUUCCUGCAAUCACCAACAGCAAUGACACGCUGGACACCAACCGGUUCCUUCUCACUACCUGACGGCCGCACAGGUGAGACACACGUUGUGCAGUUCGUGCCCCACCACGACACGAGCUAACGUCAAGCCGCGCGCCGCGAACGCACUCGGGACCGACGGCGAGAGUCUGAGAAGACGGCGAGGCCAAACUUCCCAUGAGGCGCUCACAAAGACAAACAUUUCAGAGUUUUACAGCACGGCUCAGUAACCCUGUGAGAAACCCCCCUCCUCCUCUCCUC